Molecule: non-coding RNA, 75 nt
Organism: Sphaerodactylus townsendi
Lineage: Eukaryota; Metazoa; Chordata; Lepidosauria; Squamata; Sphaerodactylidae
Source: the annotation of a RefSeq genome assembly
GGAGGGGAAGUGGCUCAGUGGUAAAGUAUCUGCUUGGUGUGCAGAAGGUCCCAGGUUCAAUUCCUGUCCUCUCCA